RNAcentral lists this long non-coding RNA (608 nucleotides) under Physcomitrium patens. RNAcentral's name for it is "long non-coding RNA (PPAT_LNC014867)". The record is from RNAcentral. Lineage: Eukaryota; Viridiplantae; Streptophyta; Bryopsida; Funariales; Funariaceae.
AGAAUGUUAAAUAACCUUUAAUCAAAUUCAAAGAAACCUCAAAGGAAUUCCAAAGAAACAAUAAGAAAUCUUAAAGAAAUAUUAGAAUGAUUACAAAUAUAUGUCAAAUAUAUCUUAAUUCAAUCUUAAUUUAAUCCUAGUUGAAAUCUUAUUGGACUUCAUUCAAACUUUAGGCCAAAGACUAACUAAAUCUUAAAUCCUAAACAAGCUCAAAUAAAAUCCUAAAUCCUAAAUCAAAACUUGAACAAAUCCAAACCAAAUAUUAAACCUUAAACUAAAUCUUAAAUCCUAAAUCAAAUCCUAAAUCCUAAAUCAAAUCCUAACCAAAUCUUAACCCUAAUCUUAAAUCCUAAAUCAAAUUCUAACCAAAUCCUAAAUCCUAAACCAAAUCUUACCCAAAUCCUAACUCUAAAUCAAACCCUGACCAAACCCUAUAUCCUAAACCAAACCCUUACCAAAUCCUAAUUUUAAAUCAAAUCCUAACCAAAUCCUAAUCCUAAAUCAAAUCCUAACCAAUCCUAAAUAAAUCUCUACAUCCUAAACCAAAUCCUAACCAAAUUCUAACCCUAAAUCAAAUCUUAACCAAAUCCUAAAUCCUAAACCAAAUC